AUGAAGAUAGAUAAUGAAAGGCCUUACCAUACCAAUUCUUUUCAUGAGCUUGUACCCAGUGGCGGCCCUAAAGUAGACGGUGAACCUGAAAGGGAAACUAAGGACAAUCUUUUGGAAGAUAAAAUGGUUGAACAGACCAAUCCAUCAGAGCAUGGUUUUGUGAAAGCUGAGCAUGAGAAGGGAGGUAAAACCAGACAAAUACAGAUUGAGGAUGUUUCUUAUGACAAGGAUGUUGUUGAGAUCAACCUGCCAAGUUCUGUGGUUUCUUCUGAUUAUGGCGGCCAUUUUGUCAAGGAUGUCUGCAUUGACGAGGGAGUGCUUGCUGAUCAGAAGGCUUCGGCAGAGAAGGUAGUAAGUGAAAAGGUAUGCCCAAUCUUUGAUUCUUCAAUGGCCGAUGCAAAUGGUGAUCUGAAGGAAGACGUAAGACUUGAUCCUGUGAAAACUGCAAAUAAGUCACAGAUAGUUCCCCUUCAUGUCGUGCAUGCUACUGAUGGUAAUACUAUGGAAGAAACAAGAGCUGAUCCUUCGAAAACUGAACAUGAAUCAGAGUUACAAAUUGUUACCCUACAUGUUCCAUGUUCUAUUGAUGGUAAUAAGAUGGAACAAUAUUCUUGUGGCGAAGCACGUGAUGUUGAAAGCAACAAGACUAUAGAUGAAUUUACCAAUGUAAACGAUGAGAAAUCAAGUCCUAGACAGUUAUCAAGUCAUGAAGCUGCAAAACAGUGCCAGCAGGUGGGCACAGUAAUUUCUGAGACCUAUGAAACUCACAAGCCACUUUGCGAUGGAGAAGCAAUUGAUGAGGUUACACCAAUCGUUUGCCAUGAAACUGGAUCGAGUACUGCACCAGAGUCCAGUUACCUCAGUGGUUUACCAGUUGAAUCAACUUCUGAUGGGCUCUCAGCUGUAAUUCCUGAAGAAGAUGUUGGUGCAGAAUUAGAUAACAGAGGAUUGAAUCCAGCUACUCACUAUAACCCCUUUAUCGCCUAUGGGUCGUUAGAGGACACAUGGGAAUCCAAGUAUGCUCUACCUACCAUUGUCGACGAGGUUUCUGUUGUACCCAUCUGCCCUGUUGGAAAGACAGAUAGUUUCAGUGAUCUUGUCAACGGUGGUGCACUGGGAGGAUUUGAUUAUGUUGAAACAGCUGAAUCCAGAAUUGGAGACAGCAGUAAGUUAGAUUCUGUUGGAGGACGUUCAAGCAGGCUGGGGGUCCAAGCAUCUGAAGAGAGCCAUGAUCAAGGAGGUCUUGUCGAAAGAACAGAUAGUUUUAGUGACAUCGUCAACGGCGCACCAGGUAGAUUUGAUUCUGUUGCAGCAGAUGAAACCAGAAUCAAACACAAUAGACUAGAUUCCAUAGAAGAAAGUUCAGGUAGGUUGGAUGUCCAAGCAUCUGAAGAGAACAAUGAUCAGAGAGGUACUGUCAGCGCAGAGCCUAGUGAUGUCAAGACUGAGGGCCAUCCAAAAAGCGAGACCGGUGCUGUCGAAGAUGAACAUGACUUCAACCCAAGAGACGUGGGGGAUGGCACAAAGACAAGGGAGGAAAGCAGCGGCGGCGAUGAGAGCUCUACGGUUUCGCAAACGGAGUCGGCGGUUCAGCAGAAUGAACCUGAUGGUGCAAAGCUGACGACUCGGGGUGGCAUUCGCAACCCCUUUGAGUCGAGCUUCUCUGGAGCAAACAUCACGCUGGACGCGGUAGCGCCCUCUGCGCACAUCGGCAACACUUCUCUUCGCUCGGAUAGCAGCACGACAAGUACUCGGUCCUUCGCAUUCCCAGUGCUACAGACUGAGUGGAACAGCAGUCCGGUGAGGAUGGCGAAGGCGGACCGUAGGCGUUUCAGGCGAGACCGGGGCUGGGGUUUCAGGGUCCUCUGCUGUAAAUUCUGA
This 1881-nucleotide ribosomal RNA is filed under the name Triticum aestivum (bread wheat). RNAcentral's name for it is "partial small subunit ribosomal RNA". The record is from RNAcentral. Lineage: Eukaryota; Viridiplantae; Streptophyta; Magnoliopsida; Poales; Poaceae.